GGUGUUGCGUUCGUGACUGCAUCUCUGCCCUCCUUGANUCGGAUCCAGUUUGGCAUUUAGUUGUCGGGCUGGGGACGAUCAUCGUUUACUGUGAAGAAAUUAGAGUGUUCAAAGCAGGCUUAGGCCUUGAAUACAUUAGCAUGGAAUAAUGAAAUAGGGUUUUGGCACUAUUUUGUUGGUUUGCGCGCCGAAACAAUGAUUAAUAGGGACAGUUUGGUGAUAUUCGUAUUCAAUUGUCAGAGGUGAAAUUCUUGGAUUCCUGGAGGACGAACGACUGCGAAAGCAUUUAUCAAGGAUGUUUUCAUUAAUCAAGAACGAAAGUUAGGGGAUCGAAGAUGAUUAGAUACCAUCGUAGUCUUAACCAUAAACCAUGCCGACUAAGGGAUUUGCGGUUGUUCUUGUAAACUCCGUAAGCACCUUAUGGAGAAAUCAAAGUGUUUGGGUUCCGGGGGGAGUAUGGUCCCCAGGGCUUGAAACUUAAAGAA
This 485-nucleotide ribosomal RNA is filed under the name uncultured eukaryote. RNAcentral describes it as "SSU rRNA". It matches the Rfam family "Eukaryotic small subunit ribosomal RNA", at positions 667 to 1151 of the family's 1831-position model. The record is from RNAcentral.